UUCAGUGGGUAAGAUACACUUUAAAAACAGCACCAAUUUAUACAGUUCUACAACAUUGAUUCGUAAAAAAUGAAGAUAUUAAAACAGAUUAUGAUAGGGACUUGUAGUGCUAUUUUUCUGAUGGUCAUUAUUGGAUUUGUAACACCAGGAUGGCUGAUCCUUUACGUUGAUGUGCCUAAAAAUGCAGGAGCGGGUAAUGAAGAGCCAACCUGUCUGGAUUCAGAACCAGUAUAAGGAAAGAUUAGCCCUUAUGAAAAAGGAUCCAAACAUACCUGAUAUACAAGCGUAACAUUUGGACCAUUUUAUAUGCGAUACUGCAUGACGAUGAAGAUUAGAACGAUUUCAACUGAUAUAUGUGUUUUGUUGUCAUCAGGCAAUGCCAUAGAUUUGGUGGAAACUACAAUGCGAAAUAAUUCAGCUAUGCAAAUGGUGGAGGAACAGCACAAAAAUGGAAUCAAUAUAUCGAUAAAAUCAAUGAUUAAUAUUUGUAUAGCCAUAAUUGUUGUUUGCUCACUAACUUUGAUACAGUCGUUUGUCUCCUUGGGUUUAACCUUAGUGUACAGCUGUAAACGUUAUCCACGAAAAAGACUUGGAGUUGUUGGUAGUAUCUCCUUAAUUCUUUCAGGUAAGCGAGAUGGUUUUCACAAUAACUUAAGUUGUAAACAUUUUACUCAACAAAAAACAAAAUCACCGAUUUUGAGUACUUUGAUUAUGCACGUUUCACAAAUAAAUUAGAAGGGGUCCAAAACAGGUUUUUUCUACUUUUAAUUUGUAAGACUUUCAUUUAUUUUAUGACCAGAUUUAGUUGUAGUUUUCUUUGUAUUCAAUAUAUGAAUUACUAUCAAACUUAUCAAUA
Molecule: long non-coding RNA, 856 nt
Organism: Mytilus californianus (California mussel)
Lineage: Eukaryota; Metazoa; Mollusca; Bivalvia; Mytilida; Mytilidae
Exons: 5
Source: RefSeq, a predicted model, not a curated record